AUUGAACGCUGGCGGCAUGCCUUACACAUGCAAGUCGAACGGCAGCACGGGUGCUUGCACCUGGUGGCGAGUGGCGAACGGGUGAGUAAUACAUCGGAACAUGUCCUGUAGUGGGGGAUAGCCCGGCGAAAGCCGGAUUAAUACCGCAUACGAUCCACGGAUGAAAGCGGGGGACCUUCGGGCCUCGCGCUAUAGGGUUGGCCGAUGGCUGAUUAGCUAGUUGGUGGGGUAAAGGCCUACAAAGGCGACGAUCAGUAGCUGGUCUGAGAGGACGACCAGCCACACUGGGACUGAGACACGGCCCAGACUCCUACGGGAGGCAGCAGUGGGGAAUUUUGGACAAUGGGCGAAAGCCUGAUCCAGCAAUGCCGCGUGUGUGAAGAAGGACUUCGGGUUGUAAAGCACUUUUGUCCGGAAAGAAAUCCUUGACUCUAAUACAGUCGGGGGAUGACGGUACCGGAAGAAUAAGCACCGGCUAACUACGUG
RNAcentral lists this ribosomal RNA (486 nucleotides) under uncultured bacterium. RNAcentral describes it as "partial 16S ribosomal RNA". It matches the Rfam family "Bacterial small subunit ribosomal RNA", at positions 30 to 507 of the family's 1533-position model. The record is from RNAcentral.